AGGACAAAAGACUUAGUCCUAACCUUACCGUUAAUUCUUGCUAGACAUAUACAUGCAAGUAUCCGCACCCCAGUGUAAAUACCCUAGACAUCUUACACAGACAAAGAUAAUAGGAGCAGGUAUCAGGCACGCAUUAACUGCAGCCCAAAACACCUUGCCCAGCCACACCCCCACGGGACUUCAGCAGUAAUUAACAUUAAGCAAUGAGUGAAAACUCGACUUAGCCAUAGCAACAACCCUUAGGGUUGGUAAAUCUUGUGCCAGCCACCGCGGUCAUACAAGAAACCCAAAUUAACUUUAUACGGCGUAAAGAGUGGUCUUUAAUUAUCAUCCUAACUAAGAUUGAAAUGUAACUAAGCCGUUAUAAGCAUUAGACACAUCUAAUAUCUUCCCCAAAAGCGAUCUUAGCCCAACGACCAAUCAAACUCCACGAAAGCCAGGACACAAACUGGGAUUAGAUACCCCACUAUGCCUUGCCAUAAAUCCCGAUGCUUAUUUACUCAAGCAUCCGCCUGAGAACUACGAGCACAAACGCUUAAAACUCUAAGGACUUGGCGGUGCUCCAAACCCCCCUAGAGGAGCCUGUUCUAUAAUCGAUAACCCACGUUACCACCAAAACACUUUUGCCAAAACAGCCUAUAUACCGCCGUCCCCAGCUCACCCUAAAACUGAAGGACUAGAAGUGAGCACAAUAGCUUCCAUUCGCUAGCAAGACAGGUCGAGGUAUAGCCUAUAAGGUGGAAGAAAUGGGCUACAUUUUCUAUCAUAGAAAAUUCCACGACAAGAGGUGUGAAAUCACCCCUAAAAGGCGGAUUUAGCAGUAAAGCAGGACUAUAAUGCCUUCUUAAAAUCGGCCCUGGAGCACGUACAUACCGCCCGUCACCCUCCUCAUAAGCUAGCAAUUUCUCAUAUUACCUAAUUAGCAACUGAGCUAAAGAUGAGGUAAGUCGUAACAAGGUAAGUGUACCGGAAGGUGCACUUAGUUUACCAAGACG
RNAcentral lists this non-coding RNA (995 nucleotides) under Tinamus guttatus (white-throated tinamou). RNAcentral's name for it is "Bacterial small subunit ribosomal RNA". It matches the Rfam family "Bacterial small subunit ribosomal RNA". Lineage: Eukaryota; Metazoa; Chordata; Aves; Tinamiformes; Tinamidae. The record is from Rfam by way of RNAcentral.